AUGCUGGAUGGAACACCAGUUGCUGUAGACGGGCUGCACACGCAUCACAUCGGUCGUCCAACUCCAGUGUACGGCACAAGGCACAUGGGCGCCUGUCCUUGUGGAGCACGGCCAUUACAGGCUCAUGCUGAAACUAAGUUUCUGUUUGCACGCAGAAGGGAGAAAACGACACUUCCUGAAGUCGCAUUGGAUCUAUCACCAAUAAUAGUGUCAGGAACAGCACUGCUGCAGCAGCAACAUCAAAAACGAUACCAUUGGACAUUAAAAGCUUCAAUGCAGGGCACACUCACUCAUACCGAUGAUAAUUAA
This 309-nucleotide ribosomal RNA is filed under the name Triticum aestivum (bread wheat). RNAcentral's name for it is "partial small subunit ribosomal RNA". The record is from RNAcentral. Lineage: Eukaryota; Viridiplantae; Streptophyta; Magnoliopsida; Poales; Poaceae.